UACGUAGGGUGCAAGCGUUGUCCGGAAUUAUUGGGCGUAAAGAGCUUGUAGGCGGUUUGUCGCGUCUGCUGUGAAAUUUCGGGGCUCAACCCCGAACUUGCAGUGGGUACGGGCAGACUAGAGUGUGGUAGGGGAGACUGGAAUUCCUGGUGUAGCGGUGAAAUGCGCAGAUAUCAGGAGGAACACCGAUGGCGAAGUCAGGUCUCUGGGCCACUACUGACGCUGAGAAGCGAAAGCAUGGGGAGCGAACAGG
This 253-nucleotide ribosomal RNA is filed under the name uncultured bacterium. Its description in RNAcentral is "partial 16S ribosomal RNA". It matches the Rfam family "Bacterial small subunit ribosomal RNA", at positions 524 to 776 of the family's 1533-position model. The record is from RNAcentral.